UUAUCCCCUCCUAGAGUU
Molecule: transfer RNA, 18 nt
Filed under: Amazona ventralis
Lineage: Eukaryota; Metazoa; Chordata; Aves; Psittaciformes; Psittacidae
Description: partial tRNA-Thr
Source: RNAcentral